Molecule: long non-coding RNA, 969 nt
Organism: Numida meleagris (helmeted guineafowl)
Lineage: Eukaryota; Metazoa; Chordata; Aves; Galliformes; Numididae
Exons: 5
Source: RefSeq, a predicted model, not a curated record
CCUGUUGUAGAGCUACUGGGUAGAGUGCCCAGACCCAGUACAUGUCUCCCUUUACACUAUGCAAAUUAUACAUAUAUAUAUAGUUCAUUUCUAUUGUUCCCCCCCCCCCCCAAGAAAAGAAGCACAAAGGGGAAAGGUGAUAAAUGCAGGGUAAACAGUGAGUGUUGUAAAAAUAUCCUUUAAAAGAAGAUCACAGCCAGCGCACAAAGACUAGCAUACCUAAGCAACUUACAGAAACUCCGAAGACAGGAAUCCAGAGGAAUAGAAGUCAGUCACCAUGGGAAAAGAGAUACUUUGGGUUUAAAUUAUUCCACCUAAAAUCCAACGCAGUGAGUUGAGGACUCCAGGGACUGACUGUUCUGUACUCACAGAAAGAAGAAAGGAGCAAGGCAACAACCACAGUUUGGCAGUCAAGCCUGGAGUUUGAAUUCAGAGUGAAGGCAGAGGCAGGAGACAAGUGUCAAAGGAGCACAGUCAGCAGGGAAUGCAGAGGGCUAGAGGAGGACAGAAGCCCAUGCUGAGGCCACGCGGGGAACAGAGCAGGAGUGAACACCUGGGAGCAGAGCUGGAGCUGCCCUACCACAGGCUGCACUAUAGGCCCAGUGCUGGCCCCAGUACAUCCACGUCCUGGAGACCCUGCCCCAGGGACACCUGCAGACCCAUCCUGUAUCUCCGGCACCCUGGCAGCUCUGCAGCAGGAGGUGGAGGGGCUGCCAGCUCCUCAACCGUGCCAGAGCAAAGGGGACAGACUUUCAUCAUAGUGAGAGCUUCAAAGACAGCUUCCAGAAAAGAAAUUAAUAACACAAAACAAGGACCUCCUAACACAGUGUCUCCUACUGCACUUAGAAACACAGAUGAGCAAAGAAUCUGUUUUAGACAUAUGAAGUAGGUUCCACACCGGUUGGGAAGGAGAAGGACGAGGAAAUUCUCACUGAAAGGACAUGGAAUAAAGCAGUCAUGAUUCUCCAA